This 253-nucleotide ribosomal RNA is filed under the name uncultured bacterium. Its description in RNAcentral is "partial 16S ribosomal RNA". It matches the Rfam family "Bacterial small subunit ribosomal RNA", at positions 524 to 776 of the family's 1533-position model. The record is from RNAcentral.
UACAGAGGCCCCGAGCGUUAAUCGGAAUUACUGGGCGUAAAGGGCGCGUAGGCGGUUCGUUAAGUCCUGUGUGAAAUCCCCCGGCUCAACUGGGGAACUGCACAGGAAACUAGCGGGCUUGAGUUCGGGAGAGGGAAGCGGAAUUCCGGGUGUAGCGGUGAAAUGCGUAGAUAUCCGGAGGAACACCGGUGGCGAAGGCGGCUUCCUGGACCGACACUGACGCUGAGGCGCGAAAGCUAGGGGAGCAAACGGG